AACCAUUCUCACCUGCGGCUAGACCUGCGGAGGGAUCAUUACCGAGUUUACAACUCCCAAACCCCUGUGAACAUACCAAUUGUUGCCUCGGCGGAUCAGCCCGCUCCCGGUAAAACGGGGCGGCCCGCCAGAGGACUCCUAAACUCUGUUUCUAUAUGUAACUUCUGAGUAAAACCAUAAAUAAAUCAAAACUUUUAACAAUGGAUCU
Molecule: unclassified non-coding RNA, 208 nt
Filed under: soil metagenome
Description: partial contains 5.8S ribosomal RNA, internal transcribed spacer 2, and large subunit ribosomal RNA
Source: RNAcentral